RNAcentral lists this ribosomal RNA (253 nucleotides) under uncultured bacterium. RNAcentral's name for it is "partial 16S ribosomal RNA". It matches the Rfam family "Bacterial small subunit ribosomal RNA", at positions 524 to 776 of the family's 1533-position model. The record is from RNAcentral.
UACAGAGGGUGCAAGCGUUAAUCGGAGUUACUGGGCGUAAAGGGCGCGUAGGCGGUUUACCAAGUGAGAUGUGAAAUCCCCGGGCUUAACCCGGGAAUGGCAUUGGAUACUGCAGAUCUGGAGGAUCGGAGGGGGGACUGGAAUUCUUGGUGUAGCAGUGAAAUGCGUAGAUAUCAAGAGGAACACCAGUGGCGAAGGCGAGUCCCUGGACGAUACCUGACACUGAGGCACGAAAGCUAGGGGAGCAAACAGG